CUGGAAUUUCCUCCCUCUCUCUUGGCUUUCCCUCCGUCUUCAGGCCCGGCAACCGAUGGGCUCCAAUGUUUACAUUUUAACGACCUGCACCCACACAUCCGCACAUACACCGCAAGGAUAAAGAGAGAGAGAGAGCAAGUCGCCAAAAGUUCGGGCUCGUGACUCUAUUUUUUUUUUCGGCAGCUACUUCGGGCGGAGGCUCUCAGCUGCUGUGGCCGCUGAUUGCGAUUCCGAUUCUGCGGCUGCUACUGCUAUUGCUGCCGCUGCCGCUGCCAACUGCUGGCGCUGCUUUCACCGCCGCUGCUUUCACACAGUGGCUCCGUUAUUUGUGCGUGCGCGUUGCCAAUAAACGGGCAGCGGCUUCUGCUGGCGCAGCCAAUUUCGUGUGAUAAAAAAAAAACAACCAGAAAGAUGUGGAUUGCGAUUUAGACGUGUUUUUUUGCGUGCGUGUGUGUGUGAUCCCCCUUUUUUCCGACAACAACAACAACUACAGCAACAAUCGAAAUAACAACAACAACAAUGCAUAGUUCCUGCUGAGUAGCUUUUUGUAUAAUCGAAUGAAUGUGUGAGUGUAAUCGCUGUGAGUGUGUGUGUCCAAGGAAAGUUAAUCGAACAGAAGAAGAAACACCAAAUAACAACAACAACAACAACUAAACACUGCCGCCUACAAACAAUAAGAAAAAAGGAAAGAGAAGAAACCUCGAAGAUGCUCUUGUCGCAACAAUAAAACGAAAGCCGGAAGAAGAACUAGAAGAUUCGAUGUUGAAAAAGUGUGAGGUGAAUAAAGGACGAAGGACGACGAACAAUAGCUAGAAGAAGCAGCUCAUCCCUUGUAGCUAGUUGAAAUUGAAACCUAUAAUGCACCUUAGGAAAAUUGCAACACCUAUUCCAACAACAAAAACUGUAAUAACAACAACGACACAACGUUAACAACAACAAAAAAGCAACUAGAGCUGUUAUAAAAUAAAAGAAAAAACAACAAGCAUUUCAACUAAAUACUUUUCAACAACUAUAAAAUCUAGUCACAUUUUUGAAAAAAUUAAAAAAAAUAUACUACUUGUUGGAAUAACGAUUCCAACAACAUAACAACACAUUCCAUCAACAAAUUAUUAAAAAAAAAACAUCUACUACUUGUUGGUGUAACAAUUUCAACAACAAAAAUCAUCCAACGAUAGAAAAAAAAGCACAAAAGUUAACUUUCAACUAUGCAUAUACUACAACUUAAACUAAAACUUCAACUAAAAACUAAUAUUUAAACUUAAAGCACAAAUUUUAAAGCAUACUUUUCGGCACUCUACUAUAUUUAAUAAAAAUUAACUUCUAAAAUAAAAAAAAA
Molecule: non-coding RNA, 1336 nt
Organism: Drosophila bipectinata
Lineage: Eukaryota; Metazoa; Arthropoda; Insecta; Diptera; Drosophilidae
Source: RefSeq, a predicted model, not a curated record